AAGCUACUACUGCAGUGCAGGAUCAAGUGCCCCAGGCAAGUGGGAGUCCUGAGUUAACUGAGGAUCAGGAGAGCAAUGAGGCAGAGUUAAGUAUCCCAGAAAGACUGCAACUAAGGAUUGAUACUGGCUGGCACAGAGGAGGGCCAACAGUGAACACAUACUGAAGACUUCCAGAGAAGCAAUGGCUGUAUUUACCACUGAAUCUGCAAAGUACCAAUGUGAAGCCAGUGAUGAAAAGCAUCUUAAUCCAUAGCUGCCUCCAAUGAUGUAUGGUCUCCAUGAAAUCACCAAGAUGGGCUCAUGUAAACCUUUCCUCUUGUCCUUUUCUGGUCAACUCAAUCCUUCAUGAUAAAUUUCUUUAUCUGA
Anolis carolinensis (green anole) is the source of this 366-nucleotide long non-coding RNA. RefSeq lists it as uncharacterized. NCBI's taxonomy places the organism in Eukaryota, Metazoa, Chordata, Lepidosauria, Squamata, Anolidae. The record is from RefSeq and is a predicted model, not a curated record. The transcript has 2 exons.